UAGCUUAAAUAAAGUAUCUGGCUUACACCCAGAAGAUUUCAACUCAACAGACCACUUUGAGCCAGA
RNAcentral lists this transfer RNA (66 nucleotides) under Bradypus variegatus (Brown-throated sloth). RNAcentral's name for it is "tRNA-Val". The record is from RNAcentral. Lineage: Eukaryota; Metazoa; Chordata; Mammalia; Pilosa; Bradypodidae.